Leptinotarsa decemlineata (Colorado potato beetle) is the source of this 240-nucleotide long non-coding RNA. The record is from RefSeq and is a predicted model, not a curated record. NCBI's taxonomy places the organism in Eukaryota, Metazoa, Arthropoda, Insecta, Coleoptera, Chrysomelidae.
AGCGAGGAAACGCAAAGCUCACGAGGUAGACGUUCAAGACAUUAAAAGGGCUUACGAGCUGUUCUUUGAUGAAGGCAGAUCUGUGCAGUUUUUGAGGGAGUACCAACAGGAGUUCAUGUUCAAUGAUUUGGAUGACAAAGAUGAUAUGGAAAUCGAAACAAAUUAGUUUUUAAUAUUAAUUAUGGUGUUUCUAUACUUGCUGUACUUGUUCAAGAUUCCAUUAAAGUAUUUUUUAUUCUC